RNAcentral lists this long non-coding RNA (233 nucleotides) under Gallus gallus (chicken). The record is from RNAcentral. Lineage: Eukaryota; Metazoa; Chordata; Aves; Galliformes; Phasianidae.
CUUCACCUGAGAGCAGAGAUCAGGUUGUGAGCAGCAGUCAAAGAAAGUAAAUAGAUUUAGGGAGCAUCAAAAGGAAACCUACAGACAAAACCAUCAAAGUGAGAUGGCUUUUAACACAACAUGCAGUUCUACAGCCUAAUUUAUGAAAAAUAUACUGAUGAGAUUUGUGCAUCCUACUGCUGUAUAUAAAUACCUGAAUGGAAAGCGCAGAGAGGACAGAAACAGGCAACCAG